UGUACGGAAUGCAUAAUUCCAUAAUUAGCUAAAUAGUUACCCCAGGGAUAACAGGUUUGUACUUCAGAAUAGUUCCUAUUGCUAGAAGUGUUCAGCACCUCGAUGUCGGCUCAUCACAUCCUGUUGUUGUAGAAUAUAACAAGGGUUAGACUGUUCGUCUAUUAAAGUGAUACGUGAGCUGGGUUUAGUCCGACGCAAGUCAGGACGGAUUCUAUCUAUAGUUGUCCAUUACACAAUGAGUAUAACAUUCAGUACGCAAGGACAAGUGUUGUCUAACCCAUGGUUUGAGAGUUAAUCCCUUUUAAGCUACGUUAGGUUUAAGGAGCCUCGGUUCCUGUUAAUUACUGAAUACAUCUAAGUAAGAAACAAUCUCAUUUGCAAUCAGAUAUCUCGUUAUAUCUAAUCGGCGUAAUAAGUGUGCAUCAGAGCAAUCCAACUAGCUCAUUACGCUCCAUUUACACUGGUUCUU
RNAcentral lists this non-coding RNA (469 nucleotides) under Beta vulgaris subsp. vulgaris (sugar beet). Its description in RNAcentral is "Bacterial large subunit ribosomal RNA". It matches the Rfam family "Bacterial large subunit ribosomal RNA", at positions 2430 to 2925 of the family's 2925-position model. Lineage: Eukaryota; Viridiplantae; Streptophyta; Magnoliopsida; Caryophyllales; Amaranthaceae. The record is from Rfam by way of RNAcentral.